Molecule: long non-coding RNA, 618 nt
Organism: Pseudophryne corroboree (corroboree frog)
Lineage: Eukaryota; Metazoa; Chordata; Amphibia; Anura; Myobatrachidae
Exons: 3
Source: RefSeq, a predicted model, not a curated record
GGCAACAGGGCAGCACUGGAGCUGCCCACCCGCAUGCUCUGCCUAUGGCUCCCAGCUCCCCCAUCUCCGGCCGCAUCAUCUUCUAUGAGACGUCCUGACGUCUCUCCCAGCUCUACUCCCUUAGUCCCGAGGUGCUGCAGCGUUUGGGCAGGGGGUUGUCGAGCAGGAAAUGAGAAUGAAAGCCAGCCCAGGGUGGGCAGGCACCCAGCAGCCAGGCAUGUCGGACAGCCCCCAGCAGCAGAAUGAGGUCCAGUGAGGAAGCAGCAACAGCAGGCAGACUGUAGCGAUACAAGUAUAUCAAUUGAAAUAAAAUAGUGGUGAGCCUCCUAUUGUUUACCAAAAGAGAUGAUAUUAUCACUUGAAAUAAAGGUGUGCCGAGAGAGCUGAAAAAGUCACAGAUAUCAACAUCUAAACACAUCACAUGAUUCCCUCUGUCUUACCAAUCUAGGUGUCCAAACAGUGGUCGACAUCUGUUUUUUCCUUUCCAUGCCAUUUGAACCAACAGUUGUACUUAGUUUGUGGAAGACUCUUCAGGCCUUUGUGUAUUUCUCAUUACUUCAUAGCACUGUUCUAAACUAUGUUAUUGUUAGCAGUUUAGUAAACAAAUCAACUUGGAAA